UACGGAGGGUGCAAGCGUUAUCCGGAUUCACUGGGUUUAAAGGGUGCGUAGGCGGGUAUGUAAGUCGGCGGUGAAAUCCCCGAGCUUAACUUGGGAACUGCCGUUGAUACUAUAUAUCUUGAAUGUCGUGGAGGUUAGCGGAAUAUGUCAUGUAGCGGUGAAAUGCUUAGAUAUGACAUAGAACACCUAUUGCGAAGGCAGCUAACUACGCGAAUAUUGACGCUGAGGCACGAAAGCGUGGGGAUCAAACAGG
This 253-nucleotide ribosomal RNA is filed under the name uncultured bacterium. Its description in RNAcentral is "partial 16S ribosomal RNA". It matches the Rfam family "Bacterial small subunit ribosomal RNA", at positions 524 to 776 of the family's 1533-position model. The record is from RNAcentral.